Molecule: transfer RNA, 88 nt
Filed under: Methanobacteriota archaeon
Lineage: Archaea; Methanobacteriati; Methanobacteriota
Description: Euryarchaeota archaeon (groundwater metagenome) tRNA-Ile
Rfam family: tRNA
About the family: Transfer RNA (tRNA) molecules are approximately 80 nucleotides in length. Their secondary structure includes four short double-helical elements and three loops (D, anti-codon, and T loops).
Source: RNAcentral
GCUGCGGUGGCAGAGCGGUAAUGCGCUCGGCUUAUGACCGAGUGUGACCCCCACGAGGUCAUCAGGGGUUCAAACCCCCUCCGCAGCG